This 438-nucleotide ribosomal RNA is filed under the name uncultured bacterium. Its description in RNAcentral is "bacterial SSU rRNA". It matches the Rfam family "Bacterial small subunit ribosomal RNA", at positions 338 to 793 of the family's 1533-position model. The record is from RNAcentral.
CCUACGGGGUGCACCAGUGGGGAAUAUUGGACAAUGGGCGAAAGCCUGAUCCGGCAAUGCCGCGUGUGUGAAGAAGGUCUUCGGAUUGUAAAGCACUUUCGACGGGGACGAUGAUGACGGUAGCCGUAGAAGAAGCCCCGGCUAACUUCGUGCCAGCAGCCGCGGUAAUACUAAGGGGGCUAGUGUUGCUCGGAAUGACUGGGCGUAAAGGGCGCGUAGGCGGUUUAUGCAGUCAGAUGUGAAAUCCCCGGGCUUAACCUGGGAACUGCAUUUGAGACGCAUAGACUAGAGGUCGAGAGAGGGUUGUGGAAUUCCCAGUGUAGAGGUGAAAUGCGUAGAUAUUGGGAAGAACACCGGUGGCGAAGGCGGCAAUCUGGCUCGAUACUGACGCUGAGGCGCGAAAGCGUGGGGAGCAAACAGGAUUAGAUACCCCCGUAG